Molecule: long non-coding RNA, 1336 nt
Filed under: Ficedula albicollis (Collared flycatcher)
Lineage: Eukaryota; Metazoa; Chordata; Aves; Passeriformes; Muscicapidae
Description: lncRNA (ENSFALG00000024029.1)
Source: RNAcentral
CCCCCCCCCCCCCCCCCCCCCCAGCAGCAGCAUCCAGCCAGCUGUGCCCGCCAGCGCCGCCACCGAGCUGCAAACCCCGCGAGGAUCUGCGCCGUGCCAGGGUGCUUCCUGCUGACCGAGGGCUGCAGCGGUGCAGGCCAAAGCAGAACAGGUGGCAGGGGUUGGCAGAGUUGUGUUGGAUGGUUGGGAUGCAGAAAGCGGCUCUUGAAACGGUGACAGAUCGCAGCCGGUCUGUGGAAUGUGGGGUGGUGGUGCUGGCUGUGGUGCAGGCUGGGUUUUUCCAUGAGUCUUGGACCGAUGGAAUGAUGGUGUGACCAUAAACCUGUUUAUUUUGGAAGGAGUAGCGAUGGGCAAAUGGGGUGUUUGCUCCAUAAGCUGGCAUAGGGUCCCCUUUGGACAGGAUGGGGCACAGUUGUGUUAGUUCCGACUCAAACUUUUGCUGGAACCCAAAUCUAUUGGCUUGCACAUUGCCUGUGACUCAAGUUGGUGGAGGAACUGGGCUUUGGCUUGUGAAUUCCAUCCCUGCACAAUGUGUGAGUGCUGCUGGCACAUUGACCUUGGGAGAGGAGCUAGAAGCAGCACCAAAGGCAGCAGGAACCCAUCUGCUGUGACCCAGCCUGCCUCAGUUUCCCCAUCUGUACAGUGGGGAUUGUCCUGCAAGUGUGCAAGGGGAGCUCCAUGGAAUGUUAGCACAUUGUGACACGUGGCAUUAGGGCUUGGGGAUGUGCUGGCACCCACAGCACCAGGGAGGGACCAUCUGUGAGGUGAGGAGAAGGCAGCAGGGUUCUGCCCCAUGUCCUCCUCCCUGUGAGCACUCCCCAUGCAGCUGAGCAGGCUGUGGAGAACGAAGAUGCUUCCUUCAUGGAAAGAAAAUGUGACUUCUGUGCCGUCCUUCCCCAUGACUCUCACUGUGGUGCCUCACCUCAACACAAGCUUUUCACCUCACAUCUGCAAAGAGUGAAUAUCAACUGUGUAGUGGCCACCGAGGAGCUCAAAGGAAGGACGUGCAGCCUGAUAUUUGGCACUGCCUUGAAGGUUGGGGCUGGGGAUCUGCAGCCCAAGGACAAUGCUGGUUGAGGACUCUCUGACCUUGAACGUGCUGCUUUGUCCUGCCUGGUGCUCCCACGAGAUUUCUGGCAGAGGAAAACAGUCCAGCCAGAAAAGUUGAUUGAAUGACAUUUCUGUCCUGAUGCUGGCUACGGGGUCACCCUUCUUAUUAAAGUUAGGGUUAUUGAUAGCUCUUCAGGAGUCUGUAUAGAGUUAAUAAGUGGUUGGCAGAUGUUAGAAGCAUAUUGCAGAUAUUAGUGGUAGAUUGGGAUAAAUCCAUCAGUGGAUG